Molecule: ribosomal RNA, 253 nt
Filed under: uncultured bacterium
Lineage: Bacteria
Description: partial 16S ribosomal RNA
Rfam family: Bacterial small subunit ribosomal RNA
Source: RNAcentral
UACGAAGGGGGCUAGCGUUGUUCGGAUUUACUGGGCGUAAAGCGCACGUAGGCGGAUCGAUCAGUCAGGGGUGAAAUCCCAGAGCUCAACUCUGGAACUGCCUUUGAUACUGUCGAUCUGGAGUAUGGAAGAGGUGAGUGGAAUUCCGAGUGUAGAGGUGAAAUUCGUAGAUAUUCGGAGGAACACCAGUGGCGAAGGCGGCUCACUGGUCCAUUACUGACGCUGGGGUGCGAAAGCGUGGGGAGCAAACAGG